GUGGCAGACGGCUGAGUAACGCGUGGGCGACCUGCCCCCGAGAACGGGAUAACUGCGGGAAACUGCAGCUAAUACCGUAUACACUCCCGUGCUUCAAUGCGCGGGAAGAAAUGAUUUAUCGCUCGGGGAUGGGCCCGCGUCCUAUCAGGUAGUUGGUGCGGUAACGGCGCACCAAGCCGAAAACGGGUAUCUGGUGUGAGAGCAUGACCAGACAGAGGGGGACUGAGACACGGCCCCCACUCCUCCGGGAGGCAGCAGCAAGGGAUCGUGCACAAUGGGCGAAAGCCUGAUGCCGCGACGCCGCGUGAGGGAUGACGGCUUUCGUGUUGUAAACCUCUUUUCUCAGGGAAGAGAGAGGACGUAACCUGAGGAAUAAGUCACGGCUAACUACGUGCCAGCAGCCGCGGUAAUACGUAGGUGGCAAGCGUUGUCCGGAAUUACUGGGCGUAAAGGGUCCGUAGGCGGUUCGGUCAGUCUUCUGUGAAAGCUCCAGGCUCAACUUGGAGUUGUCGGGAGAAACUGCCGAACUAGAGACUGUCAGAGGCAGGUGGAAUUCCCGGUGUAGUGGUGAAAUACGUAGAUAUCGGGAGGAACACCAGUGGCGAAAGCGGCCUGCUGGGGCAGUUCUGACGCUAAGGGACUAAAGCGUGGGGAGCGAACCGGAUUAGAUACCCGGGUAGUCCACGCCCUAAACGAUGAAUGCUAGGUCUUCGGGGUGUUAAUUCCCUGUGGGCCGAAGGUAACCCAUUAAGCAUUUCGCCUGGGGACUACGGCCGCAAGGCUAAAACUCAAAGGAAUUGACGGGUCCCCGCACAAGCAGCGGAGCGUGUGGU
Molecule: ribosomal RNA, 833 nt
Filed under: uncultured bacterium
Lineage: Bacteria
Description: bacterial SSU rRNA
Rfam family: Bacterial small subunit ribosomal RNA
Source: RNAcentral